RNAcentral lists this ribosomal RNA (246 nucleotides) under uncultured bacterium. RNAcentral describes it as "partial 16S ribosomal RNA". It matches the Rfam family "Bacterial small subunit ribosomal RNA", at positions 87 to 334 of the family's 1533-position model. The record is from RNAcentral.
UCUGGCGACCGGCGCACGGGUGAGUAACACGUAUCCAACCUGCCGAUAACUCGGGGAUAGCCUUUCGAAAGAAAGAUUAAUACCCGAUGGCAUAAUUAGACCGCAUGGUCUUAUUAUUAAAGAAUUUCGGUUAUCGAUGGGGAUGCGCUCCAUUAGGCAGUUGGUGAGGUAACGGCUCACCAAACCUUCGAUGGAUAGGGGUUCUGAGAGGAAGGUCCCCCACAUUGGAACUGAGACACGGUCCAA